GGAGGGAGGAGUGUGGAAAGCAGGGCUUUAUGUCCACAUUGAUGGCAGCUCUGAAAAGCCGACCUACAUGCAGAGAAAGGCGGGAGGGGCUGCUGGGAGAAGUCUGCUGGAGCUUGUUCAUGCUGAGAGGUUGGGGGUGUGAUUUGAGGUGCGGAAGACCUACUUAAAACCUGAGAGUCUCGAAUAGGAGAGGCGCUUUCAGAUCAGCCCGAGUCUUCUGCAGCGCACAGGAGCUAGUCGUACUGAAAAGAAUGAAGUUGGACUUGUCCAGGCGAGUUUCGGACAGUGCUGGGCUGCCCUGCUCUGAUCUCCUGGGUGUCUUCACCUCCUCUGGUUCCUAAGUCGGCUGCUGCACCAGCACCCAUCAAACUCUCCUGGAAGAGGAAGUGACAGCUCACCGGUAGCCUAGAAGGCCCCUGUGGGCAGAAGCAUGGACUUACUCCUCCUCAUGGAGAUGCGGCUGAGCCAUAUUUCCUUGGCACCUCUCUGGAACCUUCGACAACCACCACCUCAGACACUAACCAGACUUUAGGUCCAUUCCUUUCAUGGCUAAAAUGAGACAGUCCACAAUGUUGAUUUUAUUUGUAGGGGAUGUCAGGAUUCCAGAAAAGCAGACUUGGAAAGCAACAAAACGUUAACUUGCAGCUCACUGAGGCCCUUACACUUGUUCUGGGCACCUCUGUAUGUUAAAAGAAGUCCAAUAUCUUUAGCUGCUGGUUAUAGGUGGCCAUAUGUUUCUGCACAGAAAUGGGGCUCCCCUUGCUAGACUAAUUUUCUAAUUUUUCCUCAAGCUUCAUUGAUUCAUAUUCUUCUACUUGACCCUGACUGUCAGGACCAACAACACCAAAUAACACCAAAGUCUCUUGCUCCUGUCCUCAGAACCUCUCAGAGGCAUCCUCUGCCCUGUUGGAGCCAUUUUAUUUCAGGUUGAUCCUUAAUUAAAUUCAGCGAGAUGCAGGACCUGUGUGUGUGAGUGUGGAUCUUGUGUGUGAAUGUGGACCUGUGUGUGUGAACGUGGGCCUGUGUGAGUGUGGGCCUGUGUGUGAGAGUGGACCUGUGUGUGUGAGUGUGGGCCUGUGUGUGAGUGUGGAUGUGUGUGUGUGAGUGUGGGCCUGUGUGUGUGAGUGUGGACCUGUGUGUGUGAGUGUGGGCCUGUGUGUGAGUGUGCAACUGUGUGUGUGUGAAUGUGGAUCUGUAUGUGAACAUGGACCUGUGUGUGUGUGUGUGGACCUGUGUGUGUGAAUGUGGAUCUGUAUGUGAACGUGGACCUGUGUGUGUGUGUGUGGACCUGUGUGUGUGAAUGUGGAUCUGUAUGUGUGAAUGUGGACCUGUGUGUGUGAGCAUGGUAUUUACAAUCAGCAGGAAGAAGCCUGGAAAUGAGUCCUGAUUAAAUGAGAAUCUAAAUACAGAACAAGUACCCUAGGAGUUCUAGAAAGAUGAAUAAUUCUCAACCCAGCAUAGUAACAGCAGCUUACAAUAUGUUUGUGUAUGUCAUAAUGGAGUGGUUUCUGUUACAUGUGUAAUGCUGGUAUCAUAAGAAGAGUAUUGUCAUGCUCACAGGAUGUCAGGUACAGAAGGUUAUAA
Long non-coding RNA from Homo sapiens (human), 1584 nucleotides. Ensembl annotates it as long intergenic non-protein coding RNA 2036. The record is from Ensembl. Lineage: Eukaryota; Metazoa; Chordata; Mammalia; Primates; Hominidae.